This 220-nucleotide long non-coding RNA is filed under the name Lathyrus oleraceus (garden pea). RNAcentral describes it as "Pisum sativum (pea) long non-coding RNA (PSAT_LNC026086)". Lineage: Eukaryota; Viridiplantae; Streptophyta; Magnoliopsida; Fabales; Fabaceae. The record is from RNAcentral.
UUGGGCUUGCAAGCUAUUAUGACUUGGGUCUAGAAUUCAAGACUACUAUUGGACCUCACACCCAAGUAGUCUUUUUCAUUCAAUUUAUUGGAAAGGAAGACGCGUUUGAAUUUGUUUGGAGAAAGACAUGUAAUUGGACUUGCAAGCUAUUACGACUUGGGUCUAAUACUCAGGAUAAUUACCAGACCUUACACCCAGGUAGUCUUUUUCUUCCAUUAUU